CAACCCUCAAGCCCCCCAGGGGCCUGGUGUUGGGGACCGGCCGCCCGCCAGCGGCGGCCGCCCCCGAAAUGCAGUGGCGACCUCGCCGCAGCCUCCCCUGCGUAGUAGCACAACCUCGCACCGGAGCGCGGAGACGGUCACGCCGUUAAACGCCCAACUUUCAAGAG
RNAcentral lists this unclassified non-coding RNA (167 nucleotides) under uncultured Tolypocladium. RNAcentral describes it as "sequence contains ITS2". Lineage: Eukaryota; Fungi; Ascomycota; Sordariomycetes; Hypocreales; Clavicipitaceae. The record is from RNAcentral.